UACGUAUGUCACAAGCGUUAUCCGGAUUUAUUGGGCGUAAAGCGCGUCUAGGUGGUUAUGUAAGUCUGAUGUGAAAAUGCAGGGCUCAACUCUGUAUUGCGUUGGAAACUGUGUAACUAGAGUACUGGAGAGGUAAGCGGAACUACAAGUGUAGAGGUGAAAUUCGUAGAUAUUUGUAGGAAUGCCGAUGGGGAAGCCAGCUUACUGGACAGAUACUGACGCUGAAGCGCGAAAGCGUGGGUAGCAAACA
Molecule: ribosomal RNA, 250 nt
Filed under: uncultured bacterium
Lineage: Bacteria
Description: partial 16S ribosomal RNA
Rfam family: Bacterial small subunit ribosomal RNA
Source: RNAcentral